RNAcentral lists this transfer RNA (64 nucleotides) under Serica brunnea. Its description in RNAcentral is "tRNA-Ile". The record is from RNAcentral. Lineage: Eukaryota; Metazoa; Arthropoda; Insecta; Coleoptera; Scarabaeidae.
AAUGAGGUGUCUGAAUAAAGAAUCAUUUUGAUAGAAUGAAACAUGUGUAAAUACACCUUCAUUA